UUCCUCUCAGGGUCGCACCUGGAGAGUUUCCACUACUCUACCGGUCCUGACUACGGGAGGGAGAGUCAGGCAGAGGCCUGUCCGUUCCGUUCCUAGCUUGACCAGUGGCUAGCGAGUGGAAGGCCAUCUGCUACAAGU
Small nucleolar RNA from Ornithorhynchus anatinus (platypus), 138 nucleotides. The record is from RefSeq and is a predicted model, not a curated record. NCBI's taxonomy places the organism in Eukaryota, Metazoa, Chordata, Mammalia, Monotremata, Ornithorhynchidae.